CAGAAAAAUUAGAAUAUUUCUGUUUGCUUAUUAUGAAUUUGAUAUGUAGAGAUUUCAUAAUAGAUGUAUUUUUCUGUUCAAUGAGCUAACUAUAUCUCUCUUGUAGCUCAAGAGGAAAUAUCAGAUGCAAAUCUUAUGCGUGACCAUCAAGAAUCAAUAUCAAAAAGCCAAAUGACAGUAAAGCAGCAAAAAGAGAAAAAACACACUCAAGAUGAAGUACUAGAUGGAAAUCCUAUGUUUGAGCGUCAAGACGCCACGUCAAAAUCAGAGAUUCAAAUGAAGAAACCAAGUUUUCACAAAGGGGAAACACUUACUACUCAGGAUGAAGUACCAGAUAGAUAUCGUAUUCUUGAUCAUCAAGACUCAGUGUCAAAAUCAGAGAUUCAAGUGAAGAAACCAAGCUUGCACGAAUGGGAAGGACUUACUGCUCCUGAUGAUGUGCCUGACAAUACUCCUGUGAUUCAGCAUCAAGAUUCAGUGUCAAAACUCCCAAUGCAAGUACAGAAACAGAUAUCUUCCGGAGAAGGAAAACACAGUACUCCUGAUAAAGUGCCACGUGGAAAUCUUAUACUUGAACAUGAAGAUUCAGAGUUAAAAAAACAAGCACAAGUAAAGAAACAAAGAACUUCCAUAGGAGAAAGACUCAAGACUCAUAUUGGAGUACCAGAUGAAAAUCUUACGGUUUUUAAUCAAUAUCCAGUGUCAAAACUCCAAACGCAAGUAGAGAAACAAAUAAAUUACAGAAAGGAAAGGAGUCAAAGUUAUUUUGGAGCAUCAGGUCAAAAUCUUCUGCUUGUGAAUGAAGAUUCAGUUUCAAAACCCCAAAAGCAAGUGAAGAAACAGAUAGCUUCUCGAGAGGAAAGACGCUAUACAUAUCCUUUUCAAAACCUGAAAAACGAUAUGAUAGCAGUUGAAAAUCUACAUCCUGAGAAGAAGGAUUUGUUUUCAAGAAAGCAAUCCCAAACUCAGAAACCUAGAGCUAUCAAAAAGGAGAAUCAUGAUGCUCAGAAAGCAAGCGACAUAUCAUCUGAGGAUGAAGUUGGAUCAAAAAGCCAGUCUCAAACUGAGAAACUUAGAGCUGGCAAAAUGGAAACCCUGAAUAGUAAGUAUGAUAAAUUUCAAUAUUAAUUUAUUUUAAUUAAAGUAAAAAGCAAAAAAUCCUGUCUUAGGUUUGUGAAUGUUUAAUCAUAUCUUUUGUAUACAUCUGUUACAUCAAAUAUAUUUACU
RNAcentral lists this long non-coding RNA (1227 nucleotides) under Capra hircus (goat). Its description in RNAcentral is "lncRNA (ENSCHIG00000001867.1)". Lineage: Eukaryota; Metazoa; Chordata; Mammalia; Artiodactyla; Bovidae. The record is from RNAcentral.